Molecule: ribosomal RNA, 1995 nt
Filed under: Triticum aestivum (bread wheat)
Lineage: Eukaryota; Viridiplantae; Streptophyta; Magnoliopsida; Poales; Poaceae
Description: partial small subunit ribosomal RNA
Source: RNAcentral
AUGUACCCCAAGGAUUACAAAUUUGACAAGGAGCAUUUAGCUGAAAUUUGGGCGGCAGAAGGCUUUGUGGAGCCUCAAGGUGGUGUUCCCAUUCAAGAUGUUGGCUGUCAGUAUUUUGAAGACCUUGUAGCACGGUCCUUCUUUCAAAAAGUUGGCGGUCAACACGUAAUCCAUGACUUGCUGCAUGACAUGGCACAAAAAGUUUCAGAGGAUGACUGCUUCAUCUUAAGAAAUACGAGUGACUUUGCUAUAGUUCCCCAGAAUGUUCGUCAUCUGUACGUACUCCCUAGCAGUGAAUUUGACCAUUCCAACUUGCCGAGCCUAUGCAACUACACGAAGCUGCGUACCCUAAUCUGCAAAAAGAGUUUAGGAAGAAAAGCAGAUAUUGUAAUGGAACCCUGGUGUGAUAAACUUCUCCGUAUGCGUGUGAUGUCUUGUGCCUCCGCAGAUAAGUUACCAGAUAAUAUUGGCAACUGGAAGCAUCUUCGGUACCUUGAAAUAUCCAGAGCUUGUUCUUUGAAGAAGAUUCCUUCAACUUUCUGUUGGCUAUAUCAUAUGCAGAUUUUAUAUGCCAAGAAAUGCAAGCUAGAAAUUCCUGGUGACUUUGUGAAGUUGACCAGUUUGCAGAAAUUCGAAGCAAUAGGAUUAACUCUUGAUUCGGCCAAUAAAGAGGGACAAGGAAUUAGGUUAAUAAAGAAUCUGAACCAAAUUCGUGGAUACUUGGUGAUAAAUAAUCUUGCCGCCCUAAGUAAGGAUCAGGCAGCUGAAGCUGAACUGAAAAAUAAGAAAUAUCUUGAUAGGUUGACAUUGAAUAUGCAUUCGCCCUGGGGUUUUGGUAUGCUGCCAACCAUCCUAUCAGCCUCUUGUCAGGCUAAGAACAAAGAAGUGCUUGAAGUUCUACAACCUCCUAUCAGCCUCAAGUCUCUGCUCCUCCAGAAUUAUGGCGACUCCUCACUCCCAAGCUGGUUUCAGCCACAAAACUUGCCAAGUUUAGAAUCACUCACUUUUCAAGGAUGUGAUGGACUCAACAGCAUAAACUUAAAGGAGACACCCGCAUUCCUGUCUCUCGCAGACGUAAGAAUUGAAGGGUGCAAAAAUAUAUCAAGCCUCGAAGAUUUUCUGCAUCCAGGUUAUGUACCAGGCAUCAAGAAAAUGGUGAUUAUCAAUUGCAAGAUGUUAGAAUCAGUACCAACUGAAAAGUUUGGGGAUUUUGAUUUCCUUGAAGAAAUGUCCUUAUUCCGUUGUCCAAACAUCAGCCUUCAAAGAUUGGUUUCGCAGUCCCUUAAGAAGCUCGACAUGUGGGAUUCUGGUCUCUUUUGCAAUAUCGACUGCUGCUCCCUCACUGAAUUUGAUGUAUCAUGCAAGUCUAUCACAUCCAUCCAAUUGCAAACGUGGAGUCUUCCAGCACUACGAGAGCUGCGUAUUCAGUCUGAAUCUCUUGCAUCUAUUGGCGGCAUUGGAGCAUUCUCGUCCCUUAAAGUCAUAAAAUUUAGUGAGUGUCGUAAAUUGCCAACCCUUGAUGGCCUGCUAACACAAGAGCAUCUACCCGCUAUUGAGGAAAUUGAAAUCAGAUGUUGUUCGGAGUUAAAGUCCCUGCCAGCUGAAUGGUUUCCCUAUCUGAAACAUCUGGUGGUUGAUGAGUGCACAAGUCUCAAGUGGCAAACAGGUUUUGUGUUGCCAUCAUGCCUCCAAAGCCUACGCUUAAAGGAAUGUGGGGAUAUCUCUCCAUGUAUUCCCAGCUGCCUAGAGAACCUCACAUCCCUCGUCUCACUUCAAAUUGAAGGAUGCAAUGGAAUAAAAUCCAUUCCAGGCAACGUUUGGCACAAUUAUCUUGUAUCACUCGAGAAAUUGGUGAUUAAGAAAUGUCAACAUCUAGUUUCAAUUGGUGGAGCAGAGGUGGUUGCAAAUAUCAAGGAGGUGGAGGUCAGGGGGUGUCCAAAGUUAGAGGAAGCGGACCAGAUCAAUAGUACAAGGAGGACAAGAAGGACUAGGUGA